GGGUUUCUAAGUCUAUUUGUUAUACUUAUUUCUGUCGAUCCGCGGAAAGAGGACUGAUUUCGGAUUUCUUCCAAUAUGAUUUAAUCCAUAGAAGGUGCGCGGACAGUAAUUCCUUCCCUGUGGCCAAACUAUAUUCAUUAUAUUAUAACAAUUGCCUUGAUGUGCGUUCUCAAAUUUGAGUUUGAAGACACCAACGCAGACAUGUAUCUUAUUUUGGGUUUACAAAAAAAACUAAAAAUGUAACUUCAAGAAAAUUAAAUCAAAAGUUAAUAGUUACCGAUAAAAUGUACUAUUCAACCCUGGACUGGAAAUCCUUUAGUUCAGGGCACUGUAAAAUAUCCAGUAAAAUUGCACGUCUGGGGAUGCUUCUGUAAACAAGGUUUUGGGAUUUUGUAUCUAUUCAUUGGUGAUCCCAAUGCAGAGAGAAUGGUAAAAAUUUAUCAAAUGGGUUUAUUGAAGUCUGCUACGAGAUGAUUUGGCCCCGAUGCAAGCAUGGAUACUCCAAAAAAAUAACGAUCCCAAACAUCGAAGCCGUGCAUGCACGACGUGGAAACGUGAAAACGGUAUUAUUACGAUGGAUUGGCCCUCACAGUCUCCUGAUAUUAAUCCAAUCGAAAAUGUUUGUACUGCUAUGAGGAUCAAGCUGAGAGAAAAGCGAGUUUUCACUUUAAAACAGUUAGCGUAUCAGUUUUACGUUUGAUUUGGAAAUCACUUCCCGAGACUUUGGUAGAAAAUCUUAUUGAAAGCAUGCCUCGACGUUGCAAAGCCGUAAUCGACAACAGAGGGGACUGGACAAUAUAUUAGAUAAAUCCAUCGAAGCGUAUAUAAUAUACUUCAAGAUCAUAUGUUUAUUUUUCAAAAAUCUUUUCUUUUUCAGGAGAAAUAGCUAACACGCUCUUGUGCCACUGACUGUAUACUCCCGUAAUUGAUGGUACAAUUCACGUAUAUAUUUAUUUAUGAUCAUAUAACACACGAAACUAUAUUAAUAUAAUCAACACGAAUCACGCGUGUAUGAAUCAUAACUUACAGUAAUAAUACAUUUUUCACUAAUAUAGUAAUAUAGGAACUAAUAUAGUAAUAUAGGAAAAGUUAAAUAUCCAAUGUUAUUUUCUGUGAAUGAAUAAAUUAAUAUCACACGUGUGCGCAUGUAUUAGUGAAUAAUUAUUUUUUUUUAUUACUUAACAUUUAUUGGUCAUUAGUAAAUUAGUAUACCAUUUGUAUCUUUUAAAGUUGUUUAUUUAUUAUUUGUAUAAACUACAUUGUAAUAAUAAUUCAUGUAAAUUAUUUUUAUAUACAAAUAUACAAUGUACAAAAGGCACGACAUAUCUACAUUCUUUAGCUCACAUACAAUAAAAUGCAAGACGAUAUAAAUUAAAAUUACAAAAUGUAGAAAGUAUAUAUAAUUAAUAAAUGUCACAAACAUUUAUUAUCAACAACUGUUUCAUAGUACCGUUAAAAAAAUUAAAUAUUUUAUUGUGCUUUAACAAACUUCACAGAUUAUUGUUCAUCAUGCAUCUUUUCCAUUUAUUUUUUUCACUCUUAUAUUCCUCUUUAUAUUUUUUUUCACACUGUAUUUCAAUGAAACGACAGAAUACAAUAGUUCUAAAGAGACAUCACUAUAAAACAUAGGAAAAUGAAUACGAUUUAAACAAUUUUGUUUUGUUAUAUUAUUAUAUACAGGAUAUAAGUUGUAUGGAUGUAAUCUAUUCCAUUAAUUAAGCAAUAGAACAGAUUUUGGUGUAAACCUUCUAUCUAACAAAAAUGUCGCGUCGAAAUGUCUUCCAAUUACAAAUUCAGGAAUUUUGAAUAAUUAAAUUUUAACAAUAAAGAUUGAUAUUGAAAUCUUCAUCUUCAUGUGACUUACCUCAAACAAAUUAUUAGAAAAAUGUUUUAACAAAAACUGUUUAAAACUUACACAUUAAAGUUUUUUGUUUAAUGUUAGACAUCUAAUAUCAUAAAAAUAAAAAAAUUGUAUGAAAUACGAUCAUUUGUUUCAAUUUUUUUAUUAAAAGAGAAGACUCCAAUUUCCUUCAUUUGAAAUCAUCCAUCACUUGAUAGUUUUGAAAUAUUUUAAGUUACAUAAAAAAAAGAUGUUUUUGUUUAUAAUUUACAUGUUAUAUUACAAAUAAUGGAUAAUGACGUCUCAAGCAAUAUUCAAAUAUAUGCUUUAUUGUAAGUCUAUCAACAUUAAUGUCAAAAAAUAUUACUGAAUUUCAUGGAAACAUAUGUCCAUCUUUUAUAUUAAAUUUAAAUGAAAAACAUUGAAAUAUAAAAAUCAAGGCAGCAUUAAAAAUAAUGAAAAUAUCUGAAAUUAAUUAUUAUCUAUGUAUAUACAGGAUGUUUCAUUUUAAUCACCCCAGACGAAUAAUUUGAAAAGAACAAUCUCCAAUAGUCAUGACCUUGACAUAUGUUGUCAAGCUCAUUCUGAACAACAUUCAAAAGGUUUUAGCCAUUAUUCGAACAUCUUGGAUAAUGCUAAUGCAGGCGGUACUGUAACAUUCAGCCUUAUAACUCGAAAAGUGCUUAUAAUGGAAAAAUAUUUUAUUAUAGUAUUUUGAAAAGCUUUCGAGAUAAGCUAUAAGAAUGUGAAAUGAAAAAUCAGGGAUUCCAUUUAAAAAAUUUAAAGUAACCUUUCUCUGACAUUGACAACAUCACACAAGGUCAAAUCAUUAUAUCAUUUUAUGUGUCCCUUGAAGUCAUACAACUUUUGUCUUGCGUUUUUUUUCAAUUCUGUUUUAUUUUCGAGUUAUUCGCCUGGGGCGAUUAAAAUAAAACAUCCUGCAUAAUCUAUUACUAUUCCUAAUAUUCUUUCUCACUUCUUCAUUUUUAAUUACAUGAAAAAAAUAAAUACUUAUUCUUUUUUCCCUUCUCUUUAAUUUACGAAGUAUGAAUAAAAAAUAUAUACGAUGCUAUUUCUCCAAUAUUUAGUUUAAAUGCAUUUUAUACAACCUUUUUGUGACUCGAAAUAUAAUAGAUUAAAUUAGACGUAUCAAAAUCAUUUUGAAAAAUUUUUAAAGUAUAAAAAUUAUUUUGGAACUUUUUCGAGAAAUAUAUUAUCACAUAAUUAUUAUACUCAGUCUAUUAUUACGAUAAAAUUUCAAGUUUAUAUCAUUACACGUGUAUUUUUUGUUCCAUUUACAAAUAGCUUUAAUAGAAAAUAUGUAUAAUAAAUCCAUCAUAUGUCAAUAUAUCAAGAACGUAGUCUCAAUAAAAUAUAAUCGCAGCGUAAUGUGAAAUAUAUAUCAAGUACACUAUUAACAUAUAGUGUGACAUGCUUUGAAUUUUAAUAACCGCAUCUUGAUGACUUGAUAAUUUCAGUAUCAAGAGAAUUUUCUAUUAAGUUGGUUCAUUGUAUAGAAUAUAAUUAUUAGAAUUAUAUUUAUGAAUUUGCUAUCGCGACAAAUGUCAAUAAUAUAUAUUUUUCUUAUACUUCUUAUAAAUCUCUUUAUAAAAAUCAUAGGUGUUUCCUGUGUAGGGAGCAUUAAACAUAUUAAUCUUGCAUAUAAACGAUAUAUAAACCAGUAUAAAAACAAAGUAUGUUCGAGAUAUUAUUGUUAUAAAAACGACGUAAAAAUAUCAGUUAUAUAAAUUGGACCUGAUUAUCUUUAUAGGAAUGUAAAAAUUUCAUUUACAAAAUAUACCGAUUAUUAAUCAUUUUUUAUAUAAUCAGCUGUUUGUAUAAAAUAAUAUAUAUAAGAGCUUAAAUGCGAUAUACUUUCCAAUACCUUUUUCAUAUGCAAAUUAAGACACAUAGCAUAUACGUACACACAUACACACACACGCACGCACGCACGCACGCACACAAAACAUAUAUACAUACAUCAUACAUGUAUAAUCUAAUACAUAAUUAGCAUAAUUCUGAUUAAUAAUGGAAAUGCGUAUUAUAAAUUUACUUGUUAGUAAACUUAUUCCGCUUUACUGAACUUUCACACAUUAAGAGUAACAAAGAUUUUAUGUAAUAAAUAAUCUAUAAAAUUGGAAUGACUUGUAGCAAAGCUGCAAUGAUAUUUGGGAAAAUAUAUACAGCAUAGAGCAGGGCUAGCUGAGCGCAAGGGUAAAUUGGCAUAUACAAAUAUCUCAGUAACCAAAACAUAUCAAUGCCAAACAAAAACUCAAGAGACGGAACUUACUGCGCUAAAUAUGUCAAUUUGCGCCGGUAAACGUUCAAUUUCAAUAGGCAAACAAAUGCGCUUUUUUAUUUUUCUGUAAAAGUAAAAUAUUAUUAGAUGAUUGUUCUUUUUUGUCUAUGUGGUAACUGAAGUAAUUAAUAAAAACCAACUUUUUAUAUCAUCAAGUCAUUAGAAUAUUUUUUAACUUUGAUAUUCAAAUUGCUAUUUUAU
Wasmannia auropunctata (little fire ant) is the source of this 4340-nucleotide long non-coding RNA. RefSeq lists it as uncharacterized. The transcript is spliced from 2 exons. Lineage: Eukaryota; Metazoa; Arthropoda; Insecta; Hymenoptera; Formicidae. The record is from RefSeq and is a predicted model, not a curated record.